This 633-nucleotide long non-coding RNA is filed under the name Homo sapiens (human). RNAcentral's name for it is "non-protein coding lnc-CLASP2-7:2". Lineage: Eukaryota; Metazoa; Chordata; Mammalia; Primates; Hominidae. The record is from RNAcentral.
GCUACGAUCCAGGAAACACAGCAAUGGCUGCUCAAAAACAGAUUCUCUUCCUACACAAGACUGUUCUCUAAUUUUUCAGGUGCCGACUUAUUAAAACUGACAAAGGAGGAUUUAGUUCAAAUUUGUGGUGCAGCCGAUGGAAUUCGGCUCUAUAAUUCACUGAAGUCAAGGUAAAAUACUGUGAACUGUUUUGCUUGAAAUAAGAAUGUACCUUUCUUCGCGUGGGGAAUUUGGGCAGAAUGUGUUUCCACGCUAGGUUGGCGUGUGUGCCUGUGUGCGCCAUCGAGCAUUGGCAGCAUUGUGCUCACAAGAAGACUGUUUUGUGUACACCUUCAGGGCAGGCCCAGAUAUGAUGCAGGCACUGAUGAGGGCAGAGGUAGACUGUAAGACUGGUAGAAAUGCACAUGGGCAGUACUGAUUUCUUGAAGACGACUGGGUUUGUUGCCAAGAAAACAAAACUUCUAAUUUAGGUGAGCUAUACAGAAUCUAUGGUUUUCAAGGUCAUGACUAUUACUAAACAGUUAUUAAAAAUGUAAACUAAUUGUGAAUUAAAAUGACAGAAACUGUAAAUUGUGCUGGCUUGUAAGAACCAUUUACUAUCAUUGCUCUUUCUAUACUUGUGGUGUGAGAAUU